UUGGUUAAGUUAGAAAGGGCGCACGGUGGAUGCCUUGGCACUAGGAGCCGAAGAAGGACGGGACUAACACCGAUAUGCUUUGGGGAGCUGUACGUAAGCGUUGAUCCAGAGAUUUCCGAAUGGGGGAACCCACUAUCUUUAGUCGGAUAGUAUCCUUACGUGAAUACAUAGCGUGAGGAAGGCAGACCCAGGGAACUGAAACAUCUAAGUACCUGGAGGAAGAGAAAGAAAAAUCGAUUUCCUGAGUAGCGGCGAGCGAAACGGAAAGAGCCCAAACCAAGAAGCUUGCUUCUUGGGGUUGUAGGACACUCUAUACGGAGUUACAAAAGAAAGUUAUAAAUGAAGCGGUCUGGAAAGGCCCGCCAAAGACGGUAACAGCCCGGUAGUUGAAAUAGCUUUCCCUCCAGAGUGGAUCCUGAGUACGGCGGAACACGUGAAAUUCCGUCGGAAUCCGGGAGGACCAUCUCCCAAGGCUAAAUACUCCCUAGUGACCGAUAGUGAACCAGUACCGUGAGGGAAAGGUGAAAAGCACCCCGGAAGGGGAGUGAAACAGUUCCUGAAACCGUGUGCCUACAAGUAGUUAGAGCCCGUUAAUGGGUGAUAGCGUGCCUUUUGUAGAAUGAACCGGCGAGUUACGAUUUGUUGCAAGGUUAAGCGGAAAAAGCGGAGCCGUAGCGAAAGCGAGUCUGAAUAGGGCGCAUAAGUAACAGGUCGUAGACCCGAAACCAGGUGAUCUACCCAUGUCCAGGAUGAAGGUAAGGUAAUACUUACUGGAGGUCCGAACCCACGCACGUUGAAAAGUGCGGGGAUGAGGUGUGGGUAGCGGAGAAAUUCCAAUCGAACUUGGAGAUAGCUGGUUCUCUCCGAAAUAGCUUUAGGGCUAGCCUCGAGGUAAAGAGUCAUGGAGGUAGAGCACUGUUUGGACUAGGGGCCCUUCUCGGGUUACCGAAUUCAGAUAAACUCCGAAUGCCAUGUACUUAUACUCGGGAGUCAGACUGCGAGUGAUAAGAUCCGUAGUCGAAAGGGAAACAGCCCAGACCACCAGUUAAGGUCCCCAAAUAUAUGUUAAGUGGAAAAGGAUGUGGGGUUGCUUAGACAACCAGGAUGUUGGCUUAGAAGCAGCCACCAUUGAAAGAGUGCGUAAUAGCUCACUGGUCGAGUGACCCCGCGCCGAAAAUGUACCGGGGCUAAACAUAUUACCGAAACUGUGGAUGAACCUCUUCGGAGGUUCGUGGUAGGAGAGCGUUCUAAGGGCGGUGAAGUCAGACCGGAAGGACUGGUGGAGCGCUUAGAAGUGAGAAUGCCGGUAUGAGUAGCGAAAGAAGGG
This 1327-nucleotide ribosomal RNA is filed under the name Listeria welshimeri. RNAcentral describes it as "partial 23S ribosomal RNA". It matches the Rfam family "Bacterial large subunit ribosomal RNA", at positions 1 to 1321 of the family's 2925-position model. The record is from RNAcentral. Lineage: Bacteria; Bacillati; Bacillota; Bacilli; Caryophanales; Listeriaceae.